Molecule: ribosomal RNA, 305 nt
Filed under: uncultured bacterium
Lineage: Bacteria
Description: bacterial SSU rRNA
Rfam family: Bacterial small subunit ribosomal RNA
Source: RNAcentral
UAUCACCUACGGGGCGCAGCAGUAGGGAAUCUUCCACAAUGGGCGAAAGCCUGAUGGAGCAACGCCGCGUGGGUGAAGGAGGUCUUCGGAUCGUAAAACCCUGUUGUUAGAGAAGAAAGUGCGUGAGAGUAACUGUUCACGUUUCGACGGUAUCUAACCAGAAAGCCACGGCUAACUACGUGCCAGCAGCCGCGGUAAUACGUAGGUGGCAAGCGUUAUCCGGAUUUAUUGGGCGUAAAGGGAACGCAGGCGGGCUUUUAAGUCUGAUGUGAAAGACUUCGGCUUAAACGGAGGAGGGGAUUGGG